Molecule: transfer RNA, 71 nt
Filed under: Pangasianodon hypophthalmus (striped catfish)
Lineage: Eukaryota; Metazoa; Chordata; Actinopteri; Siluriformes; Pangasiidae
Rfam family: tRNA
About the family: Transfer RNA (tRNA) molecules are approximately 80 nucleotides in length. Their secondary structure includes four short double-helical elements and three loops (D, anti-codon, and T loops). Further hydrogen bonds mediate the characteristic L-shaped molecular structure. tRNAs have two regions of fundamental functional importance: the anti-codon, which is responsible for specific mRNA codon recognition, and the 3' end, to which the tRNAs corresponding amino acid is attached (by aminoacyl-tRNA synthetases). tRNAs cope with the degeneracy of the genetic code in two manners: having more than one tRNA (with a specific anti-codon) for a particular amino acid; and 'wobble' base-pairing, i.e. permitting non-standard base-pairing at the 3rd anti-codon position.
Source: Rfam by way of RNAcentral
AGCAGAGUGGCGCAGCGGAAGCGUGCUGGGCCCAUAACCCAAUGUCGAUGGAUCAAAACCAUCCUCUGCUA